RNAcentral lists this ribosomal RNA (247 nucleotides) under uncultured bacterium. Its description in RNAcentral is "partial 16S ribosomal RNA". It matches the Rfam family "Bacterial small subunit ribosomal RNA", at positions 1253 to 1500 of the family's 1533-position model. The record is from RNAcentral.
GACAGUGAUGCAGAGCAAAUCCCCAAAAGCAGUCUUAGUUCGGAUUGUAGGCUGCAACUCGCCUACAUGAAGUCGGAAUUGCUAGUAAUCGCGGAUCAGCAUGCCGCGGUGAAUACGUUCCCGGGCCUUGUACACACCGCCCGUCACACCAUGGGAGUCGGUAACACCCGAAGCCUGUAGUCUAACCGCAAGGAGGACGCAGUUGAAGGUGGGAUUGAUGACUGGGGUGAAGUCGUAACAAGGUACC